Molecule: ribosomal RNA, 455 nt
Filed under: uncultured Prevotellaceae bacterium
Lineage: Bacteria; Pseudomonadati; Bacteroidota; Bacteroidia; Bacteroidales; Prevotellaceae
Description: bacterial SSU rRNA
Rfam family: Bacterial small subunit ribosomal RNA
Source: RNAcentral
ACGGGAGGCAGCAGUGGGGAAUAUUGGUCAAUGGGCGGAAGCCUGAACCAGCCAAGUAGCGUGAAGGAUGACGGCCCUACGGGUUGUAAACUUCUUUUGCCGGGGGAUAAAAAACGGGACGCGUCCCGUCUUGCAGGUACCCGUGCGAAUAAGGACCGGCUAAUUCCGUGCCAGCAGCCGCGGUAAUACGGAAGGUCCGAGCGUUAUCCGGAUUUAUUGGGUUUAAAGGGAGCGUAGGCGGAAGGUCAAGUCAGCUGUGAAAUGUAGUCGCUCAACGUCUGCACUGCAGUUGAAACUGGCCUCCUUGAGUGCGUAAGAGGCGGGCGGAAUUCGUCGUGUAGCGGUGAAAUGCUUAGAUAUGACGAAGAACUCCGAUUGCGAAGGCAGCUCGCUGGGCCGCAACUGACGCUGAAGCUCGAAGGUGCGGGUAUCAAACAGGAUUAGAUACCCUGGUA